GUGUGAGGGUGAAGAACGCACUGAGACAGCCAGAAGAGACAUGGCUGGAUACAGUGAACUGGAGGAAUAGCGGGGAGAAUUGCCAAUACUCAGGAGUCAGGCUUCACAUUGAUCAUGCAGCUAAUAAGAAAGAAGGCAAAGGUACCAAGCCCCUUGCCAUAUGAGAGCUUCCAGCAACUUUGGCAGAAGAUAGAAAGGAAAAUACUACUACUAUUUAGAAACUGCACUGAUAUUUCUUGACUUCUCCUGAAUCGACUACUGUUUUCCCCUCAGUGAUUCAAAUACAAGAGAAAUUUUUCUCAUCAUUCUGUGUCUCAAAGCUCUGAAAUAAGGCAUCUUUUCCUGUCUUUUAUUUGAUUUAAGGCCAGCUUCAAGCAUUUAUUGAACUGAUUAGCACAUUAGUUUUAUUUUUUUUUUCCAUGUCCUUUUAUGUUCUGGUGAGUUUAUUAGGUGAGGCCAGUUUCCUUCAGAGAAUUUAAUCCAAAGGCCUUUACUAGAAGGCUGGCAUGUUUCCUUUUCUCAUAAAGAUAAGGAAACAUCAACAGGCAUAACAUAGCAGAAUGUCUAGCCUAAGUUAUGGAAAAGAUUCCAUGCCAUACUCCCUGGUGAGGUUGACUUCACACUUACUGGCUUACUUCUCCUGAUACUUGGUUUACAAGUGAGACAAGUAAUCCCCUCUGAGGGUAACUGGUCAUGUUUCUUUGUUUACUCUGGGGGUCAUUUUGCCACUAACAGCUAUGCUGGCUCUAUGCAGAACUUCAAACCUCAGGCUGUCUACCUGAGCUAUAGGGAAGAAGAAGCUACAGAGUUCCCUUUAAUAAGACAUCAGCAAUACAUUUAGCUGUCAGAGAAGAUGGGUCAUAUUUAGGAAUACAUGGAGAAUAAGUUUUAAAAGAGAGAGAAUCCAAAUGUAUUGUACUCUUAAUUAGAGGUCCCUAAACUGCAAAUUCAUUUGCUAAUAUAAUUUCUCAUGCUUUUUAUUUCAAUAAUGUAUGUAUUCGGUAAUGUCUGAUAAAUACUUGCACUUC
RNAcentral lists this long non-coding RNA (1028 nucleotides) under Homo sapiens (human). RNAcentral's name for it is "HSALNT0342150". The record is from RNAcentral. Lineage: Eukaryota; Metazoa; Chordata; Mammalia; Primates; Hominidae.